GAAUGUAUCUAAGAAGCUCCAGUUUCCCCAGUCUCCUCAGCACUGAAGCUUUAACCCAGAAGUAUACUGUAAGAUGUUCUUUAAAAAUAUUUUUUGUUUGAUUUCAUGAAUAAAUCUCCUUGUACAUUGUUCACUUUAUUAUUGAACUUUCUUUAUACUUUUAUGUGCUUUAGAUUGCAAUAGAUAUUAAAUCUGCAAAGCGAGAACUGAAGAAAGCAAGAACAGUCCUACAAAUGGAUGAACUCAAAUGUCGCAAACGUGUUUUAAGAAGGUUGGGAUUUGCUACUUCUUCUGAUGUAAUAGAGAUGAAAGGACGAGUGGCUUGUGAGAUAAGCAGUGCUGAUGAGCUCCUUCUAACUGAGAUGAUGUUUAAUGGCCUUUUCAAUGACCUUUCUGCAGAACAGGCAACAGCAUUAUUAAGCUGCUUUGUGUUUCAAGAGAAUUCUAGUGAGAUGCCCAAAUUAACAGAACAAUUAGCAGGACCACUUCGUCAAAUGCAGGAAUGUGCUAAAAGAAUUGCAAAAGUUUCAGCAGAAGCCAAAUUGGAAAUUGAUGAGGAAACUUAUCUAAGCUCAUUUAAACCUCACUUAAUGGAUGUAGUAUAUACCUGGGCAACUGGAGCUACAUUUGCCCAUAUCUGCAAAAUGACAGAUGUCUUUG
Molecule: small RNA, 660 nt
Filed under: Pan troglodytes (chimpanzee)
Lineage: Eukaryota; Metazoa; Chordata; Mammalia; Primates; Hominidae
Description: retained intron
Source: RNAcentral